RNAcentral lists this long non-coding RNA (1036 nucleotides) under Marmota monax (woodchuck). Lineage: Eukaryota; Metazoa; Chordata; Mammalia; Rodentia; Sciuridae. The record is from RNAcentral.
GGUAGGUCCAAAAUGCAAAGUCUCAGAAGCCAAAUGACAUUUGUUUCCUCCUGAGCCUGCCUAAUAUCAAUUCUGACAACAGAGCCAGUUGCCAACUGGAGGGAGUGAGGUUCCUGCCUCUACCAAAGCCCAUGGGCAGUCUGGAGCCUUUCAUGAAGGCUCCUUCCAGAGACCAGCUGAACAAAGGCUCAGCUAGGGAUUGGAAAGAUAUAUGGCACUUGUGCUCCUGGCUCAGGACAGUGCUUGCCCCAUCCUUCCUCCUGGAAUCAGAGAGUGCUGCAAUUCUGUUAGCACCGCUCUCAGGCUGCAAAUUGGCUAGUUUGGGGAAAAGAGAUGUGGCAUUGCACACAGCUGCCUCCCCUAUCCUGUAGACUGUUGUCCGCUGAAAGGAGGUGAGGGCAGCACAGGCCUGUUGCCUCUGGGGUGGGGUCAGAGGUCACCACCACUCGUUGAAAUUGUAUUUUUCUUUUGAGCCCCUAAUACGAACCAAGCUUGGAUAUAAAAAAGAAGCAUAACAGAAUUAAUUGUCACUAACUAUUUUGGGUUUUAUUAAGACGAAAAGGAAGCCAGGAGGGCAAGAAAAAUGUCACUGAGCUGUGUACAGACAGGGCAGUGCAAUGCGCACAUGAUAAUUCAGCCACAUCCCUGGAAGGAAUCAACGAGCCCCAUUAAAACAGGGGAGUAAGCAGAGCAAUAAGAAAUGGUCCUGCCUGCAAAUCAUGUUUCUAGAAGGAAAGGAAUAUUGCCUGCUCCAAGGAAGGACGGGUCCAGUGAUAGAACAUGUGGGUGUGGAGGAUCACAGAGGUGAGACAUGGCAGGUACUGCUCCACCAGUGCUUCUCAGAAAUAGUAAGAAAUGAAGAAUGUCCCCAAAGGGCACAUGGUAGAGCUAUGACCUAUAGUUACUCAUGGGCUUCGGAGCCCCUGCCCUUUUAUAGGAAGGCUUUGGGGAGGAAUGUCUGUGGAGUCAGAAAGAUGGAAAGCAAUAUUGUCAUCUGAACUGGAUACGGGGAUAAGGACAGCUUGAGGAAUCAACA